AUGCUAGUUUUCUUAGUCGUAGACCAAAUUAGAAAACCAGGAUCCAAUUAGAGAAAAGUGAUAACUUUCAAAUUUAGAGAAACCCUAGAAUUAAUAAAAAUGGGCAAUUCUGAUCCAAAUCACGUUUUUUCCAAAAACAAACGAAAGUUUAGAAAACAAAAUUAAAAAAGGAUAGGUGCAGAGACUCGAUGGAAGCUGUUCUAAUGAAUGGAGUUGAUUAUCUUACAUUGGUAGACGAAUCCUUCUAUCAAAACUUCAGAAAAGAGGAACGAUAAACCUGUAUACCAAGAAGAAUUGGUGUGAAUUGAUUUCAUAAUGAAGAAAGAACCAAAUCUGAUAGAUCUUUUGAAUAACUGAUGAAAUCGGAUGAGAAUAAAGCUUGUGUCCCAUUCUAUAUGCCAAUACCGG
This 408-nucleotide non-coding RNA is filed under the name Helianthus annuus (common sunflower). Its description in RNAcentral is "sRNA HanXRQr2_Chr17g0817001". It matches the Rfam family "Group I catalytic intron". Rfam says of the family: Group I catalytic introns are large self-splicing ribozymes. The record is from RNAcentral. Lineage: Eukaryota; Viridiplantae; Streptophyta; Magnoliopsida; Asterales; Asteraceae.